This 253-nucleotide ribosomal RNA is filed under the name uncultured bacterium. Its description in RNAcentral is "partial 16S ribosomal RNA". It matches the Rfam family "Bacterial small subunit ribosomal RNA", at positions 524 to 776 of the family's 1533-position model. The record is from RNAcentral.
UACAGAGGUCUCAAGCGUUGUUCGGAUUCAUUGGGCGUAAAGGGUGCGUAGGCGGCGCGGUAAGUCGGGUGUGAAAUCUCGGAGCUUAAUUCCGAAACUGCAUUCGAUACUGCCGUGCUUGAGGACUGGAGAGGAGACUGGAAUUUACGGUGUAGCGGUGAAAUGCGUAGAUAUCGUAAGGAAGACCAGUGGCGAAGGCGGGUCUCUGGGCCGAUACUGACGCUGAGGAGCGAAAGCGUGGGGAGCGAACAGG